UAAAAGAAUUUGUCCGCCUCUCCCCUGCGGAAAGCCAAAGAAACCAGAGAGGGGAGUGGGGUGUGUCAAGAGCAACAGCCUGGAGGGUGUGGGGCGUGGGGGACGGACAGACGACAGGCACGGGACAAGCCAGGAGGAAAGGGCUCUGACAGCGCCCAUCUGGCAUGCACGAAGCAUGCCGCCUUGAAGAUGCGGAUGGGCCUUCGUUUGUAAGGAAUACUGGAGGCGGCCGCAGAGAAGGCGUUGGGAACCCCUCCACCUCCGUGCCCUCCAGAAAGGUAGCGGGACAGUGGGAGAUAAGGUGGAGGAGGCGGACUGUGAGACCCGGGGUUUGGGGGAGCCAGGAGGGGCGCUGUGAUCCUCCCAUCCUAGUGCACCAAGCACUGAGACCGCCACGACGCGGACCUGCGGCGAGGGUGGGAAGGAGCGGAUGGGAGUGCCCCUCCCUUCCCCCCCGCCGACCCUCGCCCACUCUUGUGUGAAGCCGCUGCCAAGGGUGGAGUCGGGAGGAGCUGAGAACCCCGUUCCCACUGAGCAGGAAGGGGUAAGAGGCCGGAGGGGUCUGGGGAUGCUGGGACUGCCCCCAACGAGAUCUGCGUGGGGAAUGGGAAGACCAGCGCCGGGGGGAGUCCAGGGGCUCCAAGACGCCGCCCAGAAAGAAGUCCGCAAUUGAGAGAGAUUCGACCCUCCCCUGAUGUAACCGUCACAGAGGAGACGGACCAAUGGGCAGCUGGCUCUGCUGUGAUGGACAGGUGCAGGGGGUGGGGCCACAGCACUGCACAUUUCUGUAGGUCGGUUGAAGCGAAGACCAGGCUCCAUCCAGCCCUCUGGACAAAAUAGCAGUUGUGAAACUGGAGGCCCAUGAGCAAUCACAGUGGCUCAAGAGGGCUCUGUGAGGCUUCUCGACCAGGUCAUGUCUUAGGGUAACAGUCUCAAUUCUCUUUUAAGAAAGAAUAUGCGUCUCUAGGACAGCUAACCAUAAACCCAUGAUUGGUUUAGAGUGGGUACAUGAUCCAGGCCCACCCAAUCAGAGUCUAAGAUUUGGCACAGGGGUGGGCACAUGAGCCAGAUUCAGCCAAUGAAACUCAGGACUGCGACUUUUGGGGCAUUAACCAGGAAAAAAGGCAUUUCCUCUUUUUUUUUUCUCUCCACUGGGGCUCUCAGACUGGGAAAAUGUUAGCUUGGAGCUGUGAUGGGGGAGAACCUGCUUGAGAGAGAAGCCAGCAUAGGAAAGCAGACCUGAGAGGGAGUCGGAUCCUGGAGACAUCAUUUGAGGGCUAGAUCCACCCGAACCUGAAUCUGUCAUUCUAACCCUGGGCCUCUCGGUAUAGUCCGUUAAGAGUCCGACUCUUGGUUUCGACUCAGGUCCGUGAUCUCAGAGUUGUGAGAUCGAGCCCUGCAUCAGGCUCUGUGCUGAGUGCAGACUCUCUCUUCCUCUCCCUCUGCCCCCUCUGCGCCUCCCCCCCCACCCCCCCACCCCCGUCUGCACUCUCUCUAAAAUAAAUAAGUCAAUCUUUAACCCUGGGCUUCUCAGUUACAUAUCCAGAAACUUCCUCUUUUUUUUUUUUCUUUUUAAAAGAUUUUAUUUUUAAGUCAUCUCUACACCCAACAUGGGGCUCAAACUCACACCCCGAGAUCAUGAGUUGCAUGCCCGACUGACUGAGCCAACCAGGCGCCCCCAGAAACUUCCUUUUACUUUUGCUCAAGUUACUUGCAGUAGGGUUUGCGACACUUGCAACUGGAAGACUCUUGGCUACCUCAGGAGGGCUGGGCGGUUGGCAAGUGAGAAAAUGGAGGCUUGAGAAGGGGGCUUGCCUAUCCAAGUCUGCACUCUGGGACAGGAGAAUGACUGUGCUGGAAUUGAGGACUCUGAAGAGGACCUUCUUGGGGUCCAGACAUAGGGGGACAAUUGAGUGGGACUUGGAGAUACACAGGCAUUCCAAUCAGUCUGGGGACAUCAGUGAGGGGGUGGGACAGGCAAGGUUCUAGACCCACCCUCUCUGCUCCUCAACACACUUCUGACUCAGUGGUCCCACCUCAACCCCAUGGGGUCCCACCUCCAACCCACGUGGGGUUAGGAGGGAGGAAUUAGGAGGGGAAUCUCUGGAUUGGGGUAUGGGUGGGCUCCAGGGGCAAGAGGAGAGUUUGUGAUCUCAGCUCAUGGCUACCGGAAUCAGACAGGGGGCUCUGCCGUCAUAGAGGAUGGGUGGCAGAGAUGGGGGCACAACAUGGGAGGAGAGGAAUGGGCAGAAGAAAGUCACGGGUGCCCCCCGCCCCGCCACUGCCUCCCUCCGGGAGAGUCCAAAACAUCUUGAAAACCAGGAUCCCACCCCAUCACCUGUUCUCCAGUGUGCUCGUGGGGGCUGGGACAUUUGAGUCUGGGGUCCCUUUCAAGACUGGGCACCAAGUGUUCUGAAAUCUGUGUCUGCAUCUGGCAGGGGCUGGAUUUUUAAGACCCCUGGGUUAGGAUUCCCAGGGAACUGGACCCUGAAUCACCUGGAUCUGUGCCUCCCAGGAAGCUGUGUAAGUGUUGCAGGUGACUCGUCUUCAGGUCAGAAUUCAGACAGGGACCGAUGUCUUCCAGGCGGGGAUGGGGACUCGAGGUCAGAAGCAAGAGACUCUGUCCAGGGUUUACACGUCUGUGUGUCUAUGUUCCUCCUUCCAUGGCCAUGCCUGUGUGUUUCAGUGGUGCUUUCUUGUGCCCAUGUAUGUGUCUGUGGCCAUGGUGUGUCCCUGUGUGACCACAGUAACUGUACAUGUAGUGUGUGUGUGCACCUGGAUGGUGUAUCCACGUGUGUAUGUGGUUAUUUAUUCAGCAGACAUUUCCUGAGCAUCUACUAUGUGGCAUGCUCUCUUCUGAGCGCCAGGAAUACACCAAAGGGCGAACAAGUACCCUGCCCUGCGUUUUCAUAUUCAAGUGUCCGUGAGGGCGUGUGUGCCUCUGUGUAUUGCAGGUUGUAACUACUCGAAACUGCACUGCACGUGUGAAAACGUGAACUUGCGGUUCGUGGCCUCAGGGGCUGGGGCAGAAUGACCCAGCGAUUUCCUGGAAGGCCAGAGACCCGAGGGUGACCGUCAAGGUGGCCUUAAAGCCCCGCCCCUCCGAGGCCUGGCCACGCCCCCCAGCCCGCACCGCGACGCCGGGGACCUCAGGCGGUGCUCUGCAGGCGGCAGCAGCGAGCUCCGGUCCAGUCCAUGGCCGCGCACUGGCAGUGGCAUGUGGCCUCGGCGCGCACGUCCCACGAGCCACAGGCGGAGCCACAAGUGCAGGCGGUGACGGCGAAGCCUGCGGGCGGAGCGGAGGGAGUCUGGACGCGGGCGGGAGGCUACCGGCCUGGGGGCCCGGGGGGAAGCCAAGGAAUGAAUGGGAGCCGGAUUGCGUGGGCGGCUGGGGGCCUGGACUCCAGUGUCCUAAGCUGUGCCGGAGCUGGGGCCGCAGACCAGGACCCUGGGGAAGUUGACUCAAGAAAUAGAGGCUGGACUUAGGGGGAGGGGUUCCUGGGUGCUGGGAACAGAAGCGAGAGCCUGGAAAAGGUCUCCGGUACUCACCUGCGGGGCAGGUGGCCAGGUCCCCCCUGGAGGUGACGCUCCGGCAGCUCAGGCCAAAGUUCCUCCUUGUCUCAAGAACUGCGGGAGGGAGGAGGGAAGGAAGCCGUGAGACCAAGCUGCCCCUGUUCUCAUGUGGCCUUGGCCCUGGUGGUUUGGAGAUAGGCAGGGGGUCAAGAAAACUCUUCUGAGGAAGGCCCAGGUGGGCCAGGCCCUGGUGGAGAGCCAUGAGAUGGGACGCUCAUCACCUCCCAGGUUCUGUCUUGAGAUGGGUGUUUUGGAGGAAGGAGGAUUUGGAGCUUCUGCCAAAGAUGGAGCUGGAUGGGGGCUGGGGUUGGCUUGGGUUUGGGGUGGAGGUUUGGUUCUGGUUGGGGCUGAAUUGAUGGCUGCUCCAUGUCAGGAAUUAGAGGGGGCCUCUGAGGCCCCUGCUGAGGUUGCAAGUGAGGGUCCUCACUUAAGGAUCUGGUGCCAUCCUGGAUCUUCUCAUUGAUGGCUUCAUCCACUGGACACAGAGACUUGCCACACACCAGCUGCCCCAGGACAGGGAGGAGGAGGAGGGCAAGAGCCUUCAUCCGGCAGGUGCUGCAAGAUGGAACCAACAGCCGGGUCAGUCCCUUCUCAUCUGGGGAGGGUCAAGCCUCCAGAGCAGGCUUCUGCUGGAUGUGGAGCUUCCUGUCUUAGCUGAGUGUCUUGGCUCCCUGGCCGUCCCCUCCCACAUCCGGGACCAAGAGGAAGCCCCCAGGGCAGACUCUAGGAGCCCAGAGUGGAACAAUCUGCAACAGACGGUGGCAAACUUGCAGCCCAUGGGACAAAUCUGGCCCACUGUCUAUUUCUGUGCAACCCAUGAGCUAAGAAUGGUUUUUACAUUUUGGGGGUUUUUUUUGGUUUUUGUUUUUAAUACAAACGGAUUUUUAAAAUUGUGGCAAAAUACAUUUCACAUUAAACUUAUCAUUUUAACCAUUUCUUAAAAAGAUUUUAUUUAUUUAUUUGGGAUGGACAGAGAGAGAUAGCAAGGGGUGGGGAGGGGCAGAGGGAGAAGCAGACUUUCCGCUGAGCGCAGAGCCCGAUGAAGGGCUCGAUCCCGGAACCCCGGGAUCAUGACCUGAGCCGAAGGCAGACGCUUAACUGGCUGAGCCACCCAGGUGCCCCAUUUUAGCCAUUUUUUAAGUGUAGGGUCCAAUGGCAUGAAGUACUCUCACAUUGUUGUGCAACCAUCCCCACCAACCAUCUCCAGAACUUUCUCAUCUUUCCAAACUGAAGCACUGUCCCCACGAAACACUAACUCCCUAUCCCCCCUAGCCAGACCUCCUGGCUCCCACCAUCUACUUUCUGUCUCUAUGAUUUUGCCUGUUCACACCUCAAGUAAGUGGAAUCACACAAUACUUAUCCUUUUGUGUCUGUCUUCUUUCACUUAGCAAGAUUCAUCCAUGUUGUGGCAUGGGGCAGAACUUUAUUCCUUUUUAUGGCAAAUAUUCCAUUGUAGGGACACACCACAUUUUGUUUAUUCAUUCAUCUGUUAGUUGCAACUUGCUUUGUUGUUUCCACCUCUUGUCAAUGAUGCCCCUGUAAACCUUGGAAUGUAUGAGCAUCUCUGAGCAUCUCUGAGUCCCUGCUUUCAGUUCCCUUGGGUAUAUAUCCAGGAGCAGGAUUGUUGGAUCAUAUGACAAUUCUGUGCUUAACUUUUCGAGGAGCUGCCAAAAAGUUUGUACAUUUUUAAAUCAUUGGAAAAAAAAUUUUGACAUAUGAAAAGUACAUGAAAUUGAAAUCCCAGUGCCCAUAAAUAAAGUGUUCUUAGAGCAUAGCCAUGCCUACUUUUUUAUAGAUGGUCUGAGGUUGCUUUCCCAGGUCAGUGACAGAGACUAUGCCCUGCAAAGGUGAACCCGGCUACCAUCUGGCCCUUUACAGAAAAAAAAAAAAAUUUGUCCACUCCUGGUCAAUAGCAAUGAGUGUGAAUGAGAGAUCACAAUGUAUGAAUUGCAGCUACAUGUAACAGUCUGGAUGAUUCUCACAAAACAUGACUGUGAGCAAAAAAAUCCAGACGCAGAAAAGAAAAGAACAUACCGCACAAAUCCAUUUAUUAAAAAGGACCAGGGCAGGGUGCCUGGGUGCCUCAGUUGAUCGAGCAUCCGACUCUUGAUUUUCCCUCAGGUCAUGAUCUCAGGGCCCUGAGAUCGAGUCCUGUGUCUGGCUCUGUGCUGGGUGUGGAGCCUGCUUGGGAUUCUCUCUCUCCCUCUCCCUCUGCACCUCCCCUCUCCCCACUCCACACACACACACACCUGCUCUCUCUCUCUCAAAAAAAAAAAAAAAAAAAAAAGCACAACUAAUCUAUGCUGUUGGAGAUGAGGAUGGAACUUCCCUGGGGAGUGAGGGAAAUUGGGAAGCUAGUGAAAAUUCGAGCAUACACUUCCAUCUGCACCAUUUUCUUUGCGCAUACUCUAUUUCAGUGACGUGUGUGAAAGUGACAUGUAUGUGUGAAAUCCCUAUGUAAAUACAACUGUGUACACAGGGCCAAAGUGUAGGCAAUAUUUAUUGAGCACUUACUAUGUGCCGGAUGGAAUGCUAUGCACCGUGCAUGCAGUGGGGAGCAAGGGGACCCCCCAGCCCUCACGCACUUUGCCCUGUCUGUCGGAGGAAGACAGACACCAAGAGAGAGCUCAGUUGGCCUCACACUCCACCAGUCAUCUCUGCCCCAGAGGAGAGGAACAGAGUUCUGGGAGAACUUCUGGCAGAAGAAUGUGGCCCCUGGUGGAAGAAUCCAGGGAAGUUUUAUGGAGGAAGAGAUGGCUGAGCGGAAGCUGGGGGUGAGCAAGAGUUAAGCAGGAGAACCAGUCAGGGACGGUAUUCUGGGUGGAAGGAACUGCUUGUCCCAAGGCCCUGGGGAAGGACAGCGUGCACCAGCUUUGAGGAACUGAAAAAAAACCAGUGGGCAGGAAGGCAGAGAGCCUGGUUGGCAUUAACAAAUUUUGCAGACUCCCUUCCUUGAAGACCCCCAGACACAGCUUGGAUACAAGGUAGUUCGGGACACAGCAAGAGUCAUUUUGUUAAGAGCUCUGAUCCUUCAAACCUUUAGUCUCAGAACUUUUCAGAUAAAAACUUUUGAGGGGCAAGAAGCGGGCAGCUCUGACUACAGGUUGGGUGAAAAGCAGGGGGCGUGUGUGGAACCCCUAGGAUUCCCUGGGGACUUAGUUUGAAAACCCUUGGUUAAGUAGCAGGAAAGGGCUGCAUGCCCUUCCUUUCUCUUUGAAGAAAAUAAAAUAUUUUGGGGGUGCCUGGCUGGCUCAUUCGGAAGAGCAUGCCAUGCUUGAUCUCAGGGUCAUGAGUGCGAGCCCCACCCUGGGUGUAGAGAUGACUAAAAAAAAAUAAACUUAAAAAAAUAUAUUUUCAUUCCCCCUGAUUUCUAUCAGUGACACUGAGGUCUGGUGGCCUCAAUUUUGCAUCAAAUGCUAUCAAAUAAAAUUUCAGAGCCAGGUCUUUAAAACGUACAAUAGGGGAGCACCUGGGUGGCUUAGCUGGCUGAGCCUCUGCCUUUGGCUAGGUCGUAAUCCUGGAGUCCUGGGAUCGAGUCCUGCAUCGGGCUCCCUGCUCGCACGGAGCCUGCUUCUCCCUCUCCUCCCUGCUCGUGCGUGCUCUCUCGCUAUCUCUCUCUCCCUCAAACAAGUAAAUAAAAUCUUUUUAAAAAUAAAAUAAAAAAAUAAAGCAUACAAUAGGGCAGUCCCUGUCUUUUACAAUCAAUUUUAUUGAGGUAUAAUUUUCGUUAAAUAAAGUGUUCAGUUGUAUGUAUUUUGACAAAUGUACAUGCCUGCAUGCUGCAUGAAUGUUUUGUUUUUCCCAAGUAUUGUCUUUUUAGUUUUUUGUUUUUGUUUUGUUUUGUUUUUUAGAGAGAAAGAGAGAGAGCACCUGC
Molecule: long non-coding RNA, 7447 nt
Organism: Mirounga angustirostris (Northern elephant seal)
Lineage: Eukaryota; Metazoa; Chordata; Mammalia; Carnivora; Phocidae
Exons: 6
Source: RefSeq, a predicted model, not a curated record